Long non-coding RNA from Psammomys obesus (fat sand rat), 658 nucleotides. RefSeq lists it as uncharacterized. The transcript has 4 exons. NCBI's taxonomy places the organism in Eukaryota, Metazoa, Chordata, Mammalia, Rodentia, Muridae. The record is from RefSeq and is a predicted model, not a curated record.
UGGAGAUGGAACUUCCGCCAGCUCCGCCCUCUUCCACUUCCGAAGGCUUGUUGGUCUGUGUGGACAAUAGGGACCAAUGUCCUAGGACCUCUGACCUUUGCGGUUAAGUCCAUACUGGACCUCACCGAGAAGAUCUCCCCUGCAGUAGAUUUCUCCAAAGCUUCUGUGUUCCCAUCACCUAUAUCUUGAGGAGGCUCAUGGGUGUGCUCAGCCAGUAGAAACUAGGCCAUCAGGUCCUAGGACCUCUGACCUCCUCCCAUUGGAGAGGACCGCCCCCUCCUUCCGUUGGAGCCCCCCUGAAGGAGGACACUUCUACAAGGCCUCCAAGUUACCCCCCUAUUUCCUGAGGUGAGUGUGCGUGAAGACACACACGCGAAGACAAACGCAAGCACACAUGCAUGAAGCCGAGUAAGUGAGGAUUCUGAGGGAGAGCCCUUAGUGGUCCCUCACGGCUUCAUGAAAACAUGUGGAAUGGCCAGGGACUCACUGUGUCACCAAGGAAGACCUGAAACUGCUGUGUCCACUGUCACCACCUUUGGGAGUACCAAGAUCACAGGUCUGAGCUCCCGUGCCUCGGUGCGAGGAGGGAACUGAUGGCUCCCUUCCUGCAUGCUAGGCUAGCACUCUGCCAGCUGAAAUUACUCCCCGAUGACACUAC